This is a long non-coding RNA of Girardinichthys multiradiatus, 557 nucleotides long. RefSeq lists it as uncharacterized. The record is from RefSeq and is a predicted model, not a curated record. NCBI's taxonomy places the organism in Eukaryota, Metazoa, Chordata, Actinopteri, Cyprinodontiformes, Goodeidae. The transcript is spliced from 3 exons.
GCUCAACAAAGCUUUAAGAUCUAGCUGUAUGCACACCCGGCAGAUCUUUUUCAUAUUAGUUAUUUGUUUGCAAACCCAGUUUUGCAGCUCUCUGAACCACGAAGACUGACUGUUUUUUCGUGCAGGCCAGAGCACCGGUUCCAGACGGGACGAUAUUGAUCCUGCUCACAAGAAGUCAAUUUUCAAAGUAGGUUUCCAUGGAGACAAGCAGAGCGAGGUGGUGUUAUGGCCUGGAUUAAGGCUCUCCGGAGGUCAUCUGGAGGAGAUCCCUGACCUACUGGGAGUUGUUUUCUUCAAUACGCUGCAUCCUGCUUAUGGUUCCUGGAGCAGUGGAGGAUUAAGUGCACCUGCCAAAGGCAGCUCCACCUCUCCACUGAGUCAGGCCUUGUUCACGCCCAAGGAGGAGGUUGUGUUUAGCAGAAGAGGGCCCUGAAUUUCCUUCCCUGAGGGCUCCAGGCGGGUGGAGCUCCUGGCAGGCAGUGGUUUUCUGCUGAAAGCAAAGUCCAGUUUAAACCCUAAGGAGUUAUUUUUUGUGCUGCUCCGUAAUGAAUAACCAC